GUUUAUGUAGCUUAAAUCUGCCCAAAGCAAGACACUGAAAAAUGCCUAGAUGGGUCCACACACCCCAUAAACA
Molecule: transfer RNA, 73 nt
Filed under: Macaca thibetana (Pere David's macaque)
Lineage: Eukaryota; Metazoa; Chordata; Mammalia; Primates; Cercopithecidae
Description: tRNA-Phe
Source: RNAcentral